GCGGCCGUGAUGGAAUUGGCAGUCAUGCUGGCUUUAGGUGCCAGUGGGGUAACACCCGUGAGGGUUCGAAUCCCUCCGGCCGCACCG
RNAcentral lists this transfer RNA (87 nucleotides) under Streptomyces auratus AGR0001. RNAcentral describes it as "tRNA-Leu". It matches the Rfam family "tRNA". From Rfam's summary of the family: Transfer RNA (tRNA) molecules are approximately 80 nucleotides in length. Their secondary structure includes four short double-helical elements and three loops (D, anti-codon, and T loops). The record is from RNAcentral. Lineage: Bacteria; Bacillati; Actinomycetota; Actinomycetes; Kitasatosporales; Streptomycetaceae.